AGCUUUCCUUUCUAGUGCCAGAGCAAACGGUUGAAGCAGUUGGAAAUUUCUGAAAAUAUUAAUGGUGGUAGUAGUAAAAGUUCACUCUGAUUGGUUCUUGUUCUAAUGAAUUCUGAGUAUAAAAGUAUAUUUUAAUCAUGGAGUAUUUUUAAAGUAGUUCAUAGUGUUGUGUUUUUAUUAUUAUUAUUUAAUACAAUGAUUCCUCUUCUCUAAAUUACUGAAUUAUUCAGGAAAAAAUAUCCAUUCAGUACUUCCUCCACUGACUCGAGCAAGUCAGGGCUGAAGUACCAUGUUUUAGAAUGGGACUCAAGCUAUUUAUUUAAAAGCCUUUGUACAUAGUCAGCUGGAAAACUAUGUCCAGCAAUGACAAGUAGACUGUUCUACGGUCAGAAUUCCUCACAACACCAAAGGAAGAAGUCCAAGUCAUCUGAGUGACCUCAGUCACCCCAAUUAACAGCAAAGCACUACUCAAAGUCCAUAGGCUCGACUGAGCUUCAACACUGUGUUCAAAGAAAUACUGAAGAGUCCAGAUGUCUCAAAUUUUCUAUGCAUUUAUAAAAAUAAAAUGACCUUUUUCUGACUUUUUACAGCAAAAAUAGAAAUUAAUCUGAAGUGUUUUGUGGGAUUUUGCUGUCCUUGACUCAAAGAGAUGCAUGGUUUCCCUUCAUGUCACAGAAAAGUAAAGCUGCUCAGGGAGGAGGCCGGUGGUCCAUGCAGUCCGUGCCGUCAGACGAUUGGCAUCUGAACCUGUUGGCUGGCUUUUCGUUUUGGCCACUUCCAUGGCUGAAGACGUGA
Molecule: long non-coding RNA, 795 nt
Filed under: Anas platyrhynchos platyrhynchos (common mallard)
Lineage: Eukaryota; Metazoa; Chordata; Aves; Anseriformes; Anatidae
Description: lncRNA (ENSAPLG00000025773.1)
Source: RNAcentral